This is a long non-coding RNA of Drosophila elegans, 953 nucleotides long. RefSeq lists it as uncharacterized. The record is from RefSeq and is a predicted model, not a curated record. The transcript has 3 exons. NCBI's taxonomy places the organism in Eukaryota, Metazoa, Arthropoda, Insecta, Diptera, Drosophilidae.
CUAUAUGUCAACACGUUUUUAGGCAGUUAACGAACUCGAGCCAAAAGGAAAACAUCAAUAUCCGAAAGUCAGAGCUCUAAAAAAUUUCAAUAAAUUUUCUAAAAAAAAUGACCAACAACUCGUCUGAUCUCGACCAAAAAAAUAAAAAGUUAAAAAUGCAACGACGUCUACUUUUUGUGCUUGCAAUACUUCCAAUAAUAUUUCUAAUGGUCUGGACAGUACUCAAGAAAAAAGAACCGUCUCUGGCAGUUGCAGCCAACGAAGGUAAUGGCAAGACAUAUGGAUUCUGGAGCAUGAUGGCCGAUAUUUAUUACUAUUUCUGGGAGGACAAAAGGCCAAUAGCCACUGUGAAGCCAAAAGGAUUUCUGGAAAAAAUCUGGAAUAAUCUCAAUCGUUAAGCAAAAUCUGCAUACCAAUGCACGAAGAUUCGGGCCGACUUACUACAAUUUUUGUAAGGACGAACCUGGAGCUCGAGUCAAAGAGAUAUGUUGAAAAUCUCGAAUCACUACACCAAAAUUUAUUUUCGGCUUUGCUAUUUUGUGCCUUUUUUUCAGGCAUAAUUAAAUCAAAGCGACAAAUGUGGUUAUCAGCAGGCAGAAGUGUGAUGCGGCGGCUUGAUUGCAUCCGGAUUACGUAAACGGAUUAGUUCAACUGUCGAAAUUGUCCAAAUUGAUUAUAUUAGCAAACAACAUUUAAUCCGUGCCGGAUGACAUUUAUUGUGUUGGAUUGCAUUCUGUGAUAUGUUUUUAAAUUGUGUGCACGUGUGAAACAAUAUGUAAAUUAUUUAUUAAUAUAGUUAAAUAUUAUCAGAAAAGCAGAUAAAAGGAACGAGAAAUAAUUGAUAAAAAUAUUUCGAAAGAUUAUGCCCAUGAAAUCACUUUCUCCAUUAAAUAUGCAUACAUUUGUUUAUGAGAUGCCAAAAAAAUAUUGCAUGUUACAUUAUGCACAUACAG